AAAUGCCUCAAUGAGAUCCAGCUGUAAGGCAUUUUCUUAAUUAGUGACCAAUUGGGGGAGGGCCCAGCCUAUUGUGGGUGGGGUCAUCCCUGGGCUGGUGGUUCUG
This 106-nucleotide microRNA precursor is filed under the name Mesocricetus auratus (golden hamster). RNAcentral describes it as "miRNA (ENSMAUG00000007041.1)". Lineage: Eukaryota; Metazoa; Chordata; Mammalia; Rodentia; Cricetidae. The record is from RNAcentral.